Molecule: long non-coding RNA, 4529 nt
Filed under: Eucalyptus grandis
Lineage: Eukaryota; Viridiplantae; Streptophyta; Magnoliopsida; Myrtales; Myrtaceae
Description: long non-coding RNA (EGRA_LNC004855)
Source: RNAcentral
CUAAACUUUAGGUCCAAUCCAAAUUUGCCUCGAACUUUUCUUUAUCUAGAAAAAACCUCAAACUUUAGGCCAAAUCCUAAAUCUAUCUCUAACUUUUUUUGUCUAAAAGAAAAAACACCAAUUUUUACUCUAAUUGCAAAUCUACCCCAUCAGCCCUCUAACCGAAAAUUGCCAUUAGUUGUCCCUAAUUUUCAUAUCUUAGAAUGGUUUCAUUUUGGAAAUAAUUUUCCAUGUCACCUUACUGAAGUGGAGCUUUUAUAGAUGUGGAAAUGUGAUGUCAAAUUGGGACCAGACCAUGGGGGUAAAUUUUGGAAUAUAUUAAAAGUUGGUGAUUUUAUUAAACAAAACAAAAUUCGAGGCAAAUCUUGGACUGUACCUAAAGUUUGGGGUUUCUUUGGACAAAAAAGGUUUGGGCCAAAAUUGGACUAGAACUUGAGGGUUUUUUAAAAGGGAAUUAGGCCUUUUUUGGGGAAAUUUGUUUGAUUUGAUUGUAGCUUGUGUCCCUUGAAUUGAUGUUAUUGUUAUGGGGAACUUAUGAACAUUUGGUACAUUUAGGAGAAUAAAAGCAAAAACAUGUUUCUUCAAAAGAAAAGAUCAUGCAACGAUAACAUGUAUUUCAUGAGUGAAUAGAAUAAAGUUGGAUCUAAGCGUUAUCUAGAAAAGUGAAACUCGUUCACUCUUUUUUUUAUUCUAGACUUCUCCACUUGCAAAUUUCAAUUAACAAAAGUGUCUUUGCACUUUGUAGUGACUGUAUGAAGUUAUCCUUCACUUGGGGUAUAUCUUAACAUGAAUUGCUUUUAUUAUUUAACUGCUAAAACAAUGGAUCUAGUUUUUUUUAUUGAUUGGUCGUUAAUUCUAAUUAACCAUAUCUAGUAAUCUCUCACGGAUUCUCUUACUAUCUACAGAUGAUUCUACGCGGUAUAUCAUGAACGAUUUUGGUCGAAUUGCUAUAUGGAAUCUCUUCUUUGUCUUGGGUAUGAUAAGUCCUUUUCUCUGCACACCUAUGAAGCUCUCAUUCAGCACUCUGACAAACAAAAAUUGUAUGUGUAAAAAAAAUUAUCAUACUAUGCUAAUCGAUGGCCAAAUUUCUCCGCAGUCCAUUUCCUAGCAACAAAAUUCAUACUCGGAGCUCCGUGUGUAUUGAUAUUUCUAAUCUUGAAGUGGAUGAGAAGGCAUCAAGCGACCGAUGCAAACAUCGAAGAGUUUUUACGAGCUCACAAUAACUUUUUUCCCAUAAGGUACUCUUACUCGGAUAUCAAGAGGAUCACACAAAAUUUCAAAUGCAAGUUAGGUGAGGGGGGAUAUGGUUUUGUAUACAGAGGAAUACUUAGAAGUGGCAAUGAAGUUGCGGUUAAGAUUUUGAACAAAUCAAAAUCUAAUGGCCAAGAUUUUAUAAGUGAAGUGGCCACAAUUGGAAGGAUCCACCAUGUUAAUGUAGUGCAACUUGUUGGUUUUUGCUUCGAAUACUCCAAACAAGCUCUUGUCUAUGAUUUCAUGCCGAAUGGAUCUUUGGAUAAACACAUUUCCUAUAAGGAUGGUGAUGAUCCUCUUGAUUAUAAGAAAAUGUAUGACAUCUCUCUUGGCAUAGCUAGAGGGAUAGAGUAUCUACAUCGGGGAUGUGAUAUGCAAAUUCUACAUUUUGACAUCAAGCCUCACAACAUUCUCUUAGACCAAAGUUUCACUCCAAAAGUUUCUGACUUUGGACUUGCAAGACUUUAUCCCACCGAUCGCAGUAUAGUAUCGCUGACUGCAGCAAGAGGAACCUUGGGUUAUAUGGCUCCUGAGCUAUUCUAUAAAGACAUUGGUGGCAUUUCUUACAAAGCUGAUGUUUAUAGUUUUGGGAUGUUAUUAAUGGAAAUGGCUGGUAGAAGGAGAAAUCUAAAUGCACAUGCAGAGCGUUCGAGUCAAAUUUACUUUCCUUUGUGGGUUUAUGAUCAACUUAGCAAAGAAAAGGAACUUGAAAUGGUAGAUGUCAUAGAAGAGGAAAGAGAAACAACGAGGAAGAUGAUAAUUGUUGCACUAUGGUGUAUACAAUUGAGCCCUAAUGAUCGGCCAUCGAUGAGGAAAGUCCUAGAUAUGCUUGAAGGAGAUAUGGAUAAACUACAACUAUCUCCAAAACCACUUUUGUAUCCAAGAGAGGCACCCAUUGAUGAUGUUGACGUUGAGAUAGAACUUGAAACGGUCUCAUCUUCAUCAAGUACUCCAAUAGUUUCUAGCGGUUCCCAAUUUUAUCAUGACCGUGAGUUUAUGAAAUCAUGUAUUGUGUGAUUGUUUCCCUAUAAUUAGAUGCAAAAAUUAUAAAUAGCACUAUCAAAAUGUAUCAUCAUUCAAAAUGUAAUAUGUGAAGCUUUUACAUGUUUUUCAUAUGGCACUAGUGUUUUAUGGUAGACUUGUUAUGUCCAUAUUUUAUACAUGAUGAUGAAUGUUGUAUGGCAUUCAUUCAAUUUUUGUUUCAUGUGAAUCGUCUUGGUAUAACAAGGUAAUUUUUUCUUUGUGUCAAUGUUUGCAUUUUGAGCAAUGAAUCUCUCUCAUUUCCAUCAAAACCUCUCAUCCCCACCCUUCAACCUCUGUUUGAUCACCCACGUCGAAGAUAGCUACCUGCUCAAGCUAUCUUCAACUUGGUCCUCAUGUCACGGGAUGGGUCCAAGCCUAACCGAUGAAUGACCGGCACAUGUCAAAGAGUAAAGACAGAGUAGGCUGACAAUUUUGCCUUUUAUGAUGAAUGGAAAUUGAACAUGUGAUGUUAUGUUAGAGCAUAUUAUGUAUUACGAAAGCUCAAUCCCUAAAUGCAGUAAGAACUUGUGCGUUCACUUGAUGAUAAGACAUGAGAUGGUGCCUUGCAUUCUUCAAAACAAGCAUUAUAUUCCUCAUUGUUGUCCCUUACACAUGAGUUUUCCUACUAAGCAAACAUUCCUCAAGACACCGAUGUUCAUAAGGAACGUGUUUCAUUCAGAGAUCGCAGACAGAGAAGUAUAAAUUUUAAGUUAUAUUAUUAUCAAAAUAAAGCAGCAUAAAAUGAUGCUAAAAAAGUAGAAAAUGGAAAAAAUUAACAAACUUAACAUCUUUAGUGGUCGUGAAAUUCCACAUGAGAAUGGUCCUCCAUUCUAGACUCUAGCUCGUGUCCAAACUCAAAAAAGAUUAGCAAGUGACGCUCAAACUCAACAAAAGGACAGCUCGUUCAAACCGGGCAUGCUCGUGGACCAAGGAAAACGACACCCAGCUAUCAUUUUGGUUCCGUUUUAAAUAAAACCAAGCAAGGGAGUUCCCAGAGAGAUGACACCCAGCUAUCAUUUCGUAUAUGCCAUGUCAUAAAAGCUAGCAAUUAUAUAAACAAAAUUUCAAAUAUAGCAUCCAUCGAGAUUCUAAUAAAAUACUACGAUAUUGGGAAAAAUAAUCCAUCAUCUUGCGUUUUAGAUUGAACAACAAAAGGACAGCUCGUUCAAACCGGGCAUGCUCGUGGACCAAGGAAAACGACACCCAGCUAUCAUUUUGGUUCCGUUUUAAAUAAAACCAAGCAAGGGAGUUCCCAGAGAGAUGACACCCAGCUAUCAUUUCGUAUAUGCCAUGUCAUAAAAGCUAGCAAUUAUAUAAACAAAAUUUCAAAUAUAGCAUCCAUCGAGAUUCUAAUAAAAUACUACGAUAUUGGGAAAAAUAAUCCAUCAUCUUGCGUUUUAGAUUGAUAGAUAUCAUAAUCCUGAUAGGACACUUACUUAGAAUCAAACAUAAUAAAAAAAAAUGAAGAUGGGUCAAACUAAAGAUUAUCACAAUCCUAAGCAACACAAUUAUUCAAUAAUAAGUUGAAAUAAUUAAAAAUAUUAUCCGAUUUCUUUAUGGAUCAUAUUAGUAAUUAAAUCAACUUUAUCAAUAAGCCCUAAUUAGAUUUAUUUAAUAUCUCAAAUAUCACCUAUCAAAUAACAAUCAAUCCGAAUUUAGGAAUGAAAUAUUCCAAUUGAAUUGGAGAAAGAUUAUUACCUAAUUCGAACACGCUCCGAUCCGGAUCACGGCUUGCGAAUGGGGCUAGGCGGAUGGUUGGCUUCAGCCAUUCGUCGGAAGGCUCACCGAUGGGCUGUCUUUGGGUGUGGUGGUCGACAAAAAGGGGACUCACGGUUAAGUAGCAUGAUUUUUCAGUCUAUUCCUCCCCUCAAAAUCUGUAGUCACUACACAUCCAAGUUCUUCGUGAUCUCCUACUUGGACUUAUUUGACUAAAAUUCUUAUAACUCCUUUUGACCGUGGACUUCAAGGCGGUGAGAGGCGCGGCUUGGACUUCAGGUUUGCAAGUAGUGUUCGCAAAAGUCUAGCAUGAUAUUCGUGUGGGUAGAUGUAUUGACUUUGCUGGAUCUCGAUGAAACCUGCAAAAGAGAGAGAGAGAGAGAACAAAACCCCAAGAGCUCAUUAGGUGAAGCCGGUGCAAAGGGCUGUGACUAGACACGCUACAACAAAUUGGAUACUUCAUGUGGCAGCUAUAUAGGGACUUUGAGCAUGAACCGCUGGGCUUGCGAAAUUACAGGACUUAUGCUGGGAAUUCUGUG